ACGAACGCUGGCGGCGCGCUUAACCCCUGCCAGUCGAACGGAAAGGCCUGCUUUCCCUUGUGGAUUGCGGGUACUCGAGUGGCGAACGGGUGAGUAACACGUGAGUGAUCUGCCCCCAACUUGGGUAUAAGCCUGGGAAACUGGGUCUAAUUCCCGAUAGGACUGCAGGGUGGUGCCUGUGGUGGAAAACGAUUUUCUAGUGGUUGGGGAUGAGCUCGCGGCCUAUCGGCUUGUUGGUGGGGUAAUGGCCUACCAAGGCGGCGACGGGUAGCCGGCCUGAGAGGGUGGACGGCCACAUUGGGACUGAGAUACGGCCCAGACUCCUACGGGAGGCAGCAGUGGGGAAUAUUGCACAAUGGGCGGAAGCCUGAUGCAGCGACGCCGCGUGGGGGAUGACGGCCUUCGGGUUGUAAACUCCUUUCGACCGCGAGGAAGCCACCUGGUUGGAAGGGUGGUGACGGUAGUGGUAGAAGAAGCACCGGCUAACUACGUG
RNAcentral lists this ribosomal RNA (493 nucleotides) under uncultured bacterium. Its description in RNAcentral is "partial 16S ribosomal RNA". It matches the Rfam family "Bacterial small subunit ribosomal RNA", at positions 29 to 507 of the family's 1533-position model. The record is from RNAcentral.